GCCUGGCUAGCUCAAUUAGUAAAGCAUGAGACUCUUAAUCUCAGGGUUGUGGGUUCAAGCCUCACGUUGGGCA
Molecule: non-coding RNA, 73 nt
Organism: Phodopus roborovskii (desert hamster)
Lineage: Eukaryota; Metazoa; Chordata; Mammalia; Rodentia; Cricetidae
Source: the annotation of a RefSeq genome assembly